Molecule: ribosomal RNA, 380 nt
Filed under: uncultured archaeon
Lineage: Archaea
Description: bacterial SSU rRNA
Rfam family: Archaeal small subunit ribosomal RNA
Source: RNAcentral
AUACCAGCUCUCCGAGUGGUGUGGAUGUUUAUUGGGCCUAAAGCAUCCGUAGCUGGCUACGUUAGUCCCCUGUUAAAUCCAACGACUUAAUCGUUGGGUCGCGGGGGAUACUGCUUGGCUAGGGGACGAGAGAGGCAGACGGUAUUUCCGGGGUAGGGGUGAAAUCCUAUAAUCCCGGGAAGACCACCAGUGGCGAAGGCUGUCUGCUAGAACGCGCCCGACGGUGAGGGAUGAAAGCUGGGGGAGCGAACCGGAUUAGAUACCCGGGUAGUCCCAGCUGUAAACGAUGCAGGCUAGGUGUUUGGACGGCCACGUGCCGUUCUAGUGCCGCAGGGAAGCUGUUAAGCCUGCCGCCUGGGGAGUACGAUCGCAAGAUUGAA